ACCUCCCACCCUAUGUUGUAAAACCACGUUGCCUCGGGGGUGACCCGGCCUCGGUCGGCGCCCCCGGUGGACCACUCAACUCUGCAUCUGAGCGUCUGAGUCAAUUUGUUAAUCAAAUUAAAACUUUCAACAACGGAUCUCUUGGUUCUGGCAUCGAUGAAGAACGCAGCGAAAUGCGAUAAGUAAUGUGAAUUGCAGAAUUCAGUGAAUCAUCGAAUCUUUGAACGCACAUUGCGCCCCGUGGUAUUCCGCGGGGCAUGCCUGUUCGAGCGUCAUUUCACCACUCAAGCCUGGCUUGGUAUUGGGCGCCGCGUGCUCCGGCACGCGCGCCUCAAAGUCUCCGGCUGAGCUGUCUGUCCUCCAGCGUUGUGAUUUUAUAUUCGCUACGAGGUACAGAUGGCCGCGGCCGUUAAACUUCUUACAGGUUGACCUCGGAUCAGGUAGG
This 445-nucleotide ribosomal RNA is filed under the name uncultured Teratosphaeriaceae. RNAcentral's name for it is "eukaryotic LSU rRNA". The stretch from base 122 to 275 matches the Rfam family "5.8S ribosomal RNA". Lineage: Eukaryota; Fungi; Ascomycota; Dothideomycetes; Mycosphaerellales; Teratosphaeriaceae. The record is from RNAcentral.